Molecule: ribosomal RNA, 521 nt
Filed under: uncultured bacterium
Lineage: Bacteria
Description: partial 16S ribosomal RNA
Rfam family: Bacterial small subunit ribosomal RNA
Source: RNAcentral
GACGAACGCUGGCGGCGUGCCUAAUACAUGCAAGUCGAACGCUUCUUACUUAUCGAACUUCGGUUCACCAAGUAAGAAGAGUGGCGAACGGGUGAGUAACACGUGGGUAACCUGCCCAUCAGCGGGGGAUAACACUUGGAAACAGGUGCUAAUACAGCAUAAUUCUUUUUGUCGCAUGAUAGAAAGAUGAAAGGCGCUUUUGCGUCACUGAUGGAUGGACCCGGGGUGCAUUAGCUAGUUGGUAGUGUAAUGGCGUACAAAGGCAACGAUGCAUAGCAGACAUGAGAGGGUGAUCGGCCACACUGGGACUGAGACACGGCCCAGACUCCUACGGGAGGCAGCAGUAGGGAAUCUUCGGCAAUGGACGAAAGUCUGACCGAGCAACGCCGCGUGAGUGAAGAAGGUAUUCGGAUCGUAAAACUCUGUUGUUAGAGAAGAACAAGGAUGAGAGUAAAAUGUUCAUCCCUUGACGGUAUCUAACCAGAAAGCCACGGCUAACUACGUGCCAGCCGCCGCGGUAA